This 440-nucleotide ribosomal RNA is filed under the name uncultured bacterium. RNAcentral's name for it is "partial 16S ribosomal RNA". It matches the Rfam family "Bacterial small subunit ribosomal RNA", at positions 338 to 795 of the family's 1533-position model. The record is from RNAcentral.
CCUACGGGGGGCUGCAGUGGGGAAUAUUGCACAAUGGGGGAAACCCUGAUGCAGCGACGCCGCGUGAGUGAAGAAGUAUCUCUGUAUGUAAAGCUCUAUCAGCAGGGAAGAAAAUGACGGUACCUGACUAAGACUCCCCGGCUAACUCCGUGCCAGCAGCCGCGGUAAUACGUAGGGGGCAAGCGUUAUCCGGAUUUACUGGGUGUAAAGGGAGCGUAGACGGCGCUGCAGGUCCGGGGUGAAAGCCCAUGGCUUAACCAUGGUACUGCUCUGGAAACUGUGGGGCUGGAGUGCGGUGGGGGCAGGCGGAAUGCCUGGUGUAGCGGUGAAAUGCGUAGAGAUUAGACGGAACACCGGCGGCGAAGGCGGCCUGCUGGACCGUAACUGACGUUGAGGCUCGAAAGCGUGGGGAGCAAACAGGAUUAGAUACCCUUGUAGUC